UUACACAAGAGACCCAAAUUAACCGUAUACGGCGUAAAGAGUGGCACCAUGCUAUCAUAGCAGCUAGGAUUGAAAUGCAACUAAGCUGUCAUAAGCCCAAGAUGUACUUAAGGCCACCUUUAAGAUGAUCCUAGCGUUGCCUGAUUAAUUUAACACCACGAAAGCUAGGGUACAAACUGGGAUUAGAUACCCCAUUAUGCCUAGCCCUAAAUCUUGAUGCUUACCAUACCAAAGCAUCCGCCUGAGAACUACGAGCACAAACGCUUAAAACUCUAAGGACUUGGCGGUGCCCCAAACCCACCUAGAGGAGCCUGUUCUGUAAUCGAUAACCCACGAUUCACCCGACCACCCCUUGUCAAUGCAGCCUACAUACCGCCGUCGCCAGCCCACCUCCCCUGAGAGCCUUACAGUGGGCACAAUAGCCUAAACCCGCUAACAAGACAGGUCGAGGUAUAGCCUAUGGGGCGGAAGAAAUGGGCUACAUUUUCUAUAAUAGAAAA
Molecule: ribosomal RNA, 500 nt
Filed under: Brachyramphus brevirostris
Lineage: Eukaryota; Metazoa; Chordata; Aves; Charadriiformes; Alcidae
Description: partial small subunit ribosomal RNA
Rfam family: Bacterial small subunit ribosomal RNA
Source: RNAcentral